Armigeres subalbatus is the source of this 169-nucleotide long non-coding RNA. RefSeq lists it as uncharacterized. NCBI's taxonomy places the organism in Eukaryota, Metazoa, Arthropoda, Insecta, Diptera, Culicidae. The record is from RefSeq and is a predicted model, not a curated record. The transcript is spliced from 3 exons.
UACUUGACGGUCGAUCGUGCCGGGUUUCCUUCGUGGUGUCUUAAGGUGUCGCGUCUGUUUUUUGUUGUUUUGGGGUUGUUUCGGUUUUCCUGGCGCGGACAGACAACAAUUUAUGAUCUGCGGUGCAAAGUUUUACCGCCAGAACUGGACUAUGUUUGAAAGCAUCUCU